Molecule: ribosomal RNA, 383 nt
Filed under: uncultured soil bacterium
Lineage: Bacteria
Description: bacterial SSU rRNA
Rfam family: Bacterial small subunit ribosomal RNA
Source: RNAcentral
ACCCUUAUUGUCAGUUGCAUCAUCCUGUUGGCACUCUGCGAACCCGCCUCGGAUACGGGGAAGAAGGUGGGAAUACGCAAGUCCUCAUGGCCUUACGUCCAGGGUUCACACGUGUUACAAUGGCGGGUACAACCCGUCGCAAACCCGCGAGGGGAGCUAAUCGGAAAAAGCCGACCUCAGUUCGGAUUGGAGUCUGCAACUCGACUCCAUGAAGCUGGAAUCGCUAGUAAUUGCGGAUCAGAACGCCGCGGUGAAUACGUUCCCGGGCCUUGUACACACCGCCCGUCACAUCACGAAAGUGGGCUGUACUAGAAGCCGGUGGGCUAACCGCAAGGAAGCAGCCGUCCAAGGUAUAACUCAUGAUUGGGGUGAAGUCGUAACAA